This 304-nucleotide ribosomal RNA is filed under the name uncultured bacterium. RNAcentral describes it as "partial 16S ribosomal RNA". It matches the Rfam family "Bacterial small subunit ribosomal RNA", at positions 506 to 807 of the family's 1533-position model. The record is from RNAcentral.
CAGCAGCAGCCGCGGUAAUACGUAGGUGGCAAGCGUUGUCCGGAAUUAUUGGGCGUAAAGGGCUCGCAGGCGGUUUCUUAAGUCUGAUGUGAAAGCCCCCGGCUCAACCGGGGAGGGUCAUUGGAAACUGGGAAACUUGAGUGCAGAAGAGGAGAGUGGAAUUCCACGUGUAGCGGUGAAAUGCGUAGAGAUGUGGAGGAACACCAGUGGCGAAGGCGACUCUCUGGUCUGUAACUGACGCUGAGGAGCGAAAGCGUGGGGGGCGAACAGGAUUAGAUACCCCGGUAGUCCCUGUCUCUUAUAC